GCGGGAGUAAUUCAGUGGUAGAAUGUCUGCUUCCCAAGCAGAAAGUCGCGAGUUCGAAUCUCGUCUCCCGCUCCA
RNAcentral lists this transfer RNA (75 nucleotides) under Chloroflexi bacterium RBG_13_51_18. Its description in RNAcentral is "tRNA-Gly". It matches the Rfam family "tRNA". Rfam says of the family: Transfer RNA (tRNA) molecules are approximately 80 nucleotides in length. Their secondary structure includes four short double-helical elements and three loops (D, anti-codon, and T loops). Further hydrogen bonds mediate the characteristic L-shaped molecular structure. tRNAs have two regions of fundamental functional importance: the anti-codon, which is responsible for specific mRNA codon recognition, and the 3' end, to which the tRNAs corresponding amino acid is attached (by aminoacyl-tRNA synthetases). tRNAs cope with the degeneracy of the genetic code in two manners: having more than one tRNA (with a specific anti-codon) for a particular amino acid; and 'wobble' base-pairing, i.e. permitting non-standard base-pairing at the 3rd anti-codon position. The record is from RNAcentral. RNAcentral also lists the same sequence under 5 other names. Lineage: Bacteria; Bacillati; Chloroflexota.